This 507-nucleotide long non-coding RNA is filed under the name Mytilus galloprovincialis (Mediterranean mussel). Lineage: Eukaryota; Metazoa; Mollusca; Bivalvia; Mytilida; Mytilidae. The record is from RNAcentral.
UGUUUUUGUUUUUGUAUAAUGUAUUUUUAUCAUAUUUUUUCUUGAAAUGUACAAAGAAUCUUAUUUGUUCCAUAGUAUUUUGUGGACAGUAUUUCAGAAGCUGUGAUAGUUUUAGUUUAUCUGCUGUUUUUAUCUUCCAUGCACAGUAUUAUUUGUUUAUUUGUUUGCAAUAUGAAUAUAUUAAGAAUAUAUUUUUAUCACUAUAUUUUAUAUUAUAUUGUACUAUUCCGUUGCUCUUUAAUAUUAAAUGUAUACAGAAAUUGUUGUUUUAUAAGAUAAUAAAAUUUUCUUGUUAAACGAAUUCUAUGUAACAGUAUUACAGCUGCUUUGCUACUCUGGAUAUUUUUCUAAAGUUGUUGGUUCUUUACAUUUUCAGUACACUUCAUAGUAACAUCUUAAGUUAAGUCUUAAAAUGUUUUAGAACAUAUUUACUGAAUUGAAAGAAUGACUUAAUAAUUUCAUUUGUAUGAAUUUGAGAUUUACAUAAAAUAAACAUCACAAGAUCAG